This 495-nucleotide ribosomal RNA is filed under the name uncultured bacterium. RNAcentral describes it as "partial 16S ribosomal RNA". It matches the Rfam family "Bacterial small subunit ribosomal RNA", at positions 28 to 507 of the family's 1533-position model. The record is from RNAcentral.
GACGAACGCUGGCGGCGUGCCUAAUACAUGCAAGUAGAACGCUGAAGGAGGAGCUUGCUCUUCUGGAUGAGUUGCGAACGGGUGAGUAACGCGUAGGUAACCUGCCUGGUAGCGGGGGAUAACUACUGGAAACGAUAGCUAAUACCGCAUAACAGUAGAUGUUGCAUGACAUUUGCUUAAAAGGUGCAAUUGCACCACUACCAGAUGGACCUGCGUUGUAUUAGCUAGUUGGUGGGGUAACGGCUCACCAAGGCGACGAUACAUAGCCGACCUGAGAGGGUGAUCGGCCACACUGGGACUGAGACACGGCCCAGACUCCUACGGGAGGCAGCAGUAGGGAAUCUUCGGCAAUGGACGGAAGUCUGACCGAGCAACGCCGCGUGAGGGAAGAAGGUUUUCGGAUCGUAAAGCUCUGUUGUAAGAGAAGAACGAGUGUGAGAGUGGAAAGUUCACACUGUGACGGUAUCUUACCAGAAAGGGACGGCUAACUACGUG